Molecule: long non-coding RNA, 574 nt
Filed under: Homo sapiens (human)
Lineage: Eukaryota; Metazoa; Chordata; Mammalia; Primates; Hominidae
Description: non-protein coding lnc-URGCP-MRPS24-3:1
Source: RNAcentral
GUGUUCUAAAGCUUGGGUUGGUAAUAAAUCUUGGCUGUAUGAGACUAGAGAGAACUGGGCUUUAAAAAUAUGAUUUUAAUGUAAAAUCUUUUCUAAUUGCAGGACAACUUGCCUUUGAUGAUUUUCAAGAGAGUUGUGCUAUGAUGUGGCAAAAGUAUGCAGGAAGCAGGCGGUCAAUGCCUCUGGGAGCAAGGAUCCUUUUCCACGGUGUGUUCUAUGCCGGGGGCUUUGCCAUUGUGUAUUACCUCAUUCAAAGUAAGUAUCCUGCUAGCCGCCUGCGGCCUGACCUCCUCCUAGCCUGCUCCUGCUCCUCCAUCAGAGGAAAUACUUGAGAUGCUUUGUUUAGAUUAGAGAAAGGAGGAGAGGGUGAUUUUAAAGGCUAGUCCACCAUUUCGUUGGCUAUAGCUUCCUCUGUAUCCUGUAAUCUCAGUUUUUCCAGGAGCAACGAGUACAAAUAAAAGGACCAGGACUAAUAUGCAUAAGAAGCCCAGCAAAGCACGAUGGGCUUUCAGUCCAGUGCACACACAGGGGCUCCAUCAAGAUUCUGAGAUUAUAUAAAGAAGGGACAGAGGGA